Molecule: RNA transcript, 1959 nt
Organism: Sorghum bicolor (sorghum)
Lineage: Eukaryota; Viridiplantae; Streptophyta; Magnoliopsida; Poales; Poaceae
Gene name: AT-rich interactive domain-containing protein 5-like
Exons: 13
Source: RefSeq, a predicted model, not a curated record
UCCCACUCCAACUCCAGGCCAUCCCCUCCGCCUCAGACCUCGGUGCAAACCUGCCGCGAAAAUAGCAGCCGCCCGUUCGCUCUCUCCCCACUCCUCCCGCGAUGAGCGACCCGCGGGGCCGCGCCGCCGGUCCCGACCGCGACGGGGACGACCCGCACGACCUCCCGCUCGCCGAGGACGCCAACGGCGAGGAAGCGUGGCAGACGCCCGAGAAAGAGGCGGUUGCCAUGUCGGAAGGGGCGGCUGCGCAGGGUGGGGACACGACCCCGGACGCCGAACCGGAGAGCGAUGACGGAGAGGGAGGAGCGGGCUCCCCGGAUCAGGCGGAGCCCAAUGCGGGCGGGGAGCGCGCACCGCCUGUGGCCGCGGCCGAGGAGCUGGAGGGGAUCGUUAGCGGCGCAAAGGUGGAGACGAACGGCGAGGACGCCAUCAGCCACGACGCCGACGGGGAGGACGACGAAGACGAUGAUGGAGACGAGGAGGACGACGACGAUGACGACGACUCCACCCCGGAUGCGUCCCCGAGGGCUGAGGUGAAGGUGGAGGGCGAGAGCUCCACCGGGAUGGCCCAGAGUGGCGCCGGCCACCACGUGGAGGUGGAACCGGACCCCUUCCUCGACGGCGAUGACUCUGGGACGGAGGAGGAGCAAGCCGCGUUCAUGGCGGAGCUGGAGCGCUUCCAUAGGGAGCACAGUCUCGAGUUCAAGCCGCCCAAGUUCUACGGCAAGGGCCUCAACUGCCUCAAGUUAUGGAGGCAGGUCGCCCACCUGGGAGGCCACGAGCAGGUAACGAUUUGUAAACUAUGGCGCCAAGUCGGAGAGACUUUCAGGCCACCAAAGACCUGCACGACUGUUUCGUGGUCAUUUCGAAUUUUCUAUGAGAAGGCACUUCUUGAAUACGAAAAACACAAAGUCCGGACUGGUCAGCUUCAGAUACCACCGCCUGGUUUACCACCGCCUAGUGGUGCUGACCGUGAGGUGGUCGUGAAUCAAUCAUCUUCUGCCAGAGUUAGAAGGGAUGCUGCAGCUCGUGCUAUGCAGGGUUGGCAUGCUCACCGCCUCCUUGCCAAUGGCACUCACGGGGAUAACAUUUUGAAGGACAAAGAUUCAAUACCACUUUCAAGUCGUGAUAAAAACCUAAAAGGCUUUGGGGUGCUCAAGAGAAAGAAAGCGUCUAGUCCAGAGUAUGCUCUCAAGUCGUCCCGCUCAAAAAUAAAUAAAUCACAGGAAGAUUCUAUGGUCAUUGACGUUGGAGAACCAGCCGACUGGGUGAAGAUCAAUGUGCGCCAGACUAAAGAUUGCUUUGAAGUCUAUGCACUAGUUCCUGGACUUCUACGUGAGGAGGUGCAUGUUCAAUCAGAUCCUGCUGGACGUCUGGUUAUCACAGGGGAUCCAGAGCAGCCUGAUAAUCCUUGGGGGAUCACUCCGUUCAAGAAGGUGGUCAAUUUGCCAUCAAGAAUCGAUCCCCACCAAACGUCUGCUGUUGUCACGCUUCAUGGUCAGCUAUUUGUGCGUGCACCAUUUGGUCAUCCUGAUAUGUAGAUAUGGAAUCAUGUUUACUUCAGUUUUGUUGACUGCGGUGCUUCUUCACCAGUGAUAUUCCUUGAUAUUACUAGGGUUUAUGUCUGUUCUGUUGAGGAAAUAGGAUUUCAUUUGAGCAGAUACAUCUGUCAAGCUGACUUAGCAGAACCGUUCUGUGGUUGUUAUCACCUUGUUUGUUAUUGCAGUAGUGGUCAUAAAAUUAGCUGGUUCAUGCAUGUAUUCCAGUUUUAUAGAGAAAGGAGAUGUUGGUCGUAUUAGGGCUAAUUUGACAUUGUGGUUACUUAUUAUUCUUUAUUAUUUUUCUUCUGUAUUAUAAAUGCCUCUCUGGGUCACUCCAGGGCGCCCUAAAGUUGCAUUUUUGUGCAUAACGCCGGUUCCUCUGGUUUAUGAAGCUAAUUGCUGUCUCUAUGUGAUAGAA